AAGCGCUUGCAGCCAGACUUGCCUGUAGUUGCUCAUCCGGGCUCUUGCCCGGUGCACUCUUCUGCUGGCAGGCCAGCAUCAGUUUGGGCGGCCGGAUAAAGGCUCUGGGAAUGUGGCUCUCUCCGGGGAGUGUUAUAGCCCAGGGUGUCAUGCGGCCAGUCUGGACUGAGGUCCGCGCAUCUGCUAGGAUGCUGGCGUAAUGGCUGUAAGCGG
RNAcentral lists this ribosomal RNA (213 nucleotides) under Pseudotetraploa sp. RNAcentral describes it as "partial large subunit ribosomal RNA". The record is from RNAcentral. Lineage: Eukaryota; Fungi; Ascomycota; Dothideomycetes; Pleosporales; Tetraplosphaeriaceae.